Long non-coding RNA from Mya arenaria, 532 nucleotides. RefSeq lists it as uncharacterized. The record is from RefSeq and is a predicted model, not a curated record. The transcript is spliced from 4 exons. NCBI's taxonomy places the organism in Eukaryota, Metazoa, Mollusca, Bivalvia, Myida, Myidae.
CCUGGUCGGCCGUCUUUACAUUCGAUGUUCAACGUUGACGACUGCUCGGACUGUUUAGUCGCAGUGGCCACAAGGUCUGUAGGAGACUACAUAUUUUGUAACACAACCGGCGGGACGAAUCCAAAUGUGUUACUACAUAUUGGAAAGGAUAAAAUGCGUGUUCAACUGUUCAGCUUAUUAACGUUACAUCACUGACAGACGGAUAAUGGACUCGACAGGGUUUCUUAACAAAAAAGUCCCCCAUGGACAGAGGCAGCAGAGGUAGCGUACGUGAAAAUUGGGAUCUUCUUUUUGGAGAGAUGAGAGGGUGUGGUGUUGUCAAAAUUUCAACUAAACGCCGGGCAAAGUGGCAAGAGAUUGCCACUGUUGUAAGCCAUGAAUUUACAGCUCCACGUUCUUCGGAACAGUGCCGGAAAAAAAUUCAAAAUGUAAAAGGACGCUCCAUCAACAAAGUCAGUGGGCUGCGGCAUCCACCAACAGGAGGGGGACCAUCAGCUGUAUUGUCCGUGGCAGAGUCGUGUGUGGCAGACCA